RNAcentral lists this ribosomal RNA (375 nucleotides) under uncultured eukaryote. RNAcentral's name for it is "SSU rRNA". It matches the Rfam family "Eukaryotic small subunit ribosomal RNA", at positions 587 to 972 of the family's 1831-position model. The record is from RNAcentral.
AGCUCCAAUAGCGUAUAUUAAAGUUGUUGCAGUUAAAAAGCUCGUAGUUGGAUUUCUGGAGGAGUGCCAAUGUCCGCAUGUUGCGUGUGCAGCGGCGCUCUUCCAUCCUUCUGUUAACGAUUCUUGGUAUUCAGUUACUGGUUUCGGGCUCAGAUAUUUUACCUUGAGAAAAUUAGAGUGUUUCAGGCAGGCUUGCGCCGGAAUACAUUAGCAUGGAAUAAUAGAAUAGGACUUCGGGCUCCUUUGUUGGUUUGAGGGUCUGGAGUAAUGAUUAAUAGGGACAGUUGGGGGCAUUAGUAUUUAAUUGUCAGAGGUGAAAUUCUCGGAUUUGUUAAAGACUAACUUAUGCGAAAGCAUUUGCCAAGGAUGUUUUCA